RNAcentral lists this long non-coding RNA (867 nucleotides) under Durio zibethinus. Its description in RNAcentral is "long non-coding RNA (DZIB_LNC001880)". The record is from RNAcentral. Lineage: Eukaryota; Viridiplantae; Streptophyta; Magnoliopsida; Malvales; Malvaceae.
UUAUUUAAUGCUACGGCCACAAAAUAACAAUUUUACUUGCCAAGUUUUUGACUUUGGGGUGCAUAUGCAUGUGUGUUUUUGAAGUCCAUUUUGUCCGUGCACGGUGAGAAUCUAGUGCCUCCAACCUCCCAUGAUUAAUUUGCUUUCUUCAAUUGUUAUAGCAUAUCAAUGGAAGCAGAUGCUGAAAACGAUUGAUGUCGAAUUUGGCAUCCCCGAUGAUAUAUAUCCAUUUUGAUGAGUAUAUGGGAAUCCAAUAUCCAAAAAGCAGAAAUGAAUUAAUUCUAUGGUCACGAUGCUUAAUUGGAAGCUUUAUUUUUUUACUAAAGAAUAGAAGCACAAACAUUAAUUAAUACAUUCCUGGAAACAUUCACUUCUACAGGGCUAGACGUCAAACAAGAUGAUAUGUCAAUUCAGCAAAGCCCCUUACAAAUUGUGAAAUCCAAUACUAGACUCCAUAGAAAGUAGAUAAAUUCUGAAGCAAACUCACUUUGGCUUCAAGAAGAAAGAUACAGUCAGCAGUCCUUUGAAACAAGGUUUCCAUGUUAAUCUCAGGACAAACAGCUGGAAGCAUCCUCUGGAGCUCCUGAAGUUUGCUUUCUAUGGAUGUUCUUACAGAAGCAGCAGCAGUAGUGUCAUUACCGAAAGAUAGACUUUGCCUUCGGAUCCUCCUUCCUCUCAUAACCAAAACCUUUCUUCUGCAUCGGGGAGAAUGCUUUGAUGAUCUCAUGAUUCUCACACGCACGUGUACAAGACACAAUUAAACAGAAAGAGAUGGCAGCUGCUAGAGAGUGGAAAGAAGGGAGAUGGGUUAUCAAAUUUUGAGGGUGGACGUUCAUUUAUACUGAUAAGGGAAAUGUUUAAGAAAAA